CCCUUAGAUGUUCUGGGCAGCACGCGCGCUACAACGGUCUUCGCAAACGGAUGCAUUCUCGAAGGAGAAUGCCAAUCUUGGAAUCUAUGCCUUGGUCGGGACAGUUGCUUGCAAUUUUUCGACUCGAACCAGGAAUUCCUUGUAAUCGUGAUUCAUCACAUCACGAUGAAUACGUCCCUGCCCUUUGUACACACCGCCCGUCGCUCCUACCGAUCGAAGAGUUAGGUGAAUUGUUUUGAUCGAUAAGAUUUGACUAUGGUCAACUCUCGUUGUGAAAUUCUGUGAAGCUGACUGUUUAGAGGAAGGAAAAGUCGUAACA
RNAcentral lists this ribosomal RNA (319 nucleotides) under uncultured eukaryote. RNAcentral describes it as "partial 18S ribosomal RNA". It matches the Rfam family "Eukaryotic small subunit ribosomal RNA", at positions 1470 to 1796 of the family's 1831-position model. The record is from RNAcentral.